AUCCGUAGGUGGAGAGCGUUGUCCGGAAUGAUUGGGCGUAAAGGGCGUGUAGGCGGCUGUCUAGGUCUGGAGUGAAAGUCCUGCUUUCCAGGUGGGAAUUGCUUUGGAGACUGGAUGGCUUUAGUGCGGAAGCGGUAAGUGGAAUUCCCAGGGUAGCGGUGAAAUGCGUAGAGAUUGGGAGGAACACCAGUGGCGAAGGCGACUUACUGGGCCGUAACUGACGCUGAGGCGCGAAAGCGUGGGGAGCGAACAGGAUUAGAUACCCUGGUAGUCCACGCGGUAAACGAUGAAUGCCAGGUGUUGCGGGUAUCGACCCCUGCAGUGCCGGAGUAAACACAAUAAGUAUUCCACCUGGGGAGUACGAUCGCAAGGUUGAAACUCAAAUGAAUUGGCGGGG
RNAcentral lists this ribosomal RNA (397 nucleotides) under uncultured bacterium. RNAcentral's name for it is "partial 16S ribosomal RNA". It matches the Rfam family "Bacterial small subunit ribosomal RNA", at positions 523 to 918 of the family's 1533-position model. The record is from RNAcentral.